Capra hircus (goat) is the source of this 584-nucleotide RNA transcript. It is a transcript of the gene named 40S ribosomal protein S10 pseudogene, with no coding region annotated. The record is from RefSeq and is a predicted model, not a curated record. The transcript has a single exon. Lineage: Eukaryota; Metazoa; Chordata; Mammalia; Artiodactyla; Bovidae.
CCUUUCCAGCGCCGGCCCCGGACACAGUAACCGUCGCGAUGUUGAUGCCCAAGAAGAACCGGAUUGCCAUUUAUGAACUCCUUUUUAAGGAGGGGGUGAUGGUAGCCAAGAAGGAUGUCCACAUGCCCAAGCACCCGGAGCUGGCAGACAAGAACGUGCCCAAUCUUCACGUCAUGAAAGCCAUGCAGUCUCUCAAGUCACGAGGCUAUGUGAAGGAACAGUUUGCCUGGAGACAUUUCUACUGGUACCUCACCAACGAGGGCAUCCAGUGUCUCCGCGAUUACCUCCACCUGCCCCCUGAGAUCGUGCCCGCCAUCCUGCGCCGCAGCCGUCCUGAGACUGGCCGGCCACGGCCCAAAGGUCUGGAGGGAGAGCGACCUGCAAGACUCACGCGAGGGGAAGCCGACAGAGACACCUACAGACGAAGCGCCGUGCCCCCUGGUGCCGACAAGAAAGCCGAGGCUGGAGCUGGGUCAGCAACUGAAUUCCAGUUUACAGGCGGAUUUGGUUGUGGACGUGCUCAGCCACCUCAGUAAAGUUGAAAGGGGUUGUUUUAUGUUGAAUAAACCUGUAAACAGAAAAAA